AGUGAAGAAAUGAAAAGCAGGAAACACCUGCUUCUGUCGCGUUAUCUGAGCCGUCACUCAGUUUGGCGGAACUUCUUUUUUUCCCUUUCAAAAGUGUUAAAUGGAUUGGGUAAAGGGUGAGAAGAAGAUGAAGAAUGAGAAGGAGA
Caenorhabditis elegans is the source of this 146-nucleotide non-coding RNA. Lineage: Eukaryota; Metazoa; Nematoda; Chromadorea; Rhabditida; Rhabditidae. The record is from Ensembl.